UUCCACCCACUUUCUCCACACAUAUCCAUUACACAUAAUAUUCCCUCCAGCUCGUAUAACUCUGGCCCCAAAAAAAUAUCUUGAGGGAACUCUAUAUAUACCAAUAGAUUUGAUAGGAAGAAGAAAAAAAAAAGGAAACCUAGAGAUAAAAAUAGCUAAGCGGCGCAGCAGAAACUCCAGAAAACAAAAAAUAGUUGCACCUCUUUCUUUUUCCCCUUCAACUCAUCAUCAUCUUCAACCCACAAAAUAUCCAUGAAAACCACCAUCUUUCCUCCAUAAAACCCACUUGAAAAUAGCCUUUUAAACCUAGCAAAAACCACUCAAAAACAAGCGCAAAUCCAUCGUCAAACUCUAAGAAAAACUGUCCAAAACCCAGCAUUAAACUACAACCAAAUCAGCACCGAAAAUGCCCCAAAAUCCAUCUCCAAAGUGACUCAAAAUGUCACCCGAACCACCCCCAAAACUCAGCAAAAUCAGCCCCAAAAAUCAUCCGCAAAGCAGCUCCAAAGAGCAGCCAAAUCAGCUGAGAAAUUACUGGUAAAAAAACCUGUCCAAAACCCCCCAGAAAAGCUGUCCAAAAUUAGUGCCAAAAAUAUGACGAAAAACCGUCUGAAGCCAGCCACAAGCCUCCAUCAAAAUUACCACUUUAUACUCGAAAUAGUUGUCCAAAUCUAUUCGAGUCGGUAUCAUUUUCGUGUAGAUCUUGGUUUGAGUUCGCCAUUGAAGUUACGGUCGAUUGGUUCUAUAGCAUUUGAAGGUCCCUGUUUUGCUCUUGCUUCGGUCAAAUUGUAGUUGUUGUUUCCUUGUAUUUUGACAUUGGCAGCGGUGCUUCAAUGUAAAGGAAGUUUCCAGUAAUAAAGUCCAAUAUUUAAACUUAUGUUAUCUCAAUUUUGUCCUGCUAGCAUAAUGAAUGAUUCUGGUUAUUUGUUGCUAUUCCAUGUUAUCUUGUCUUUCGUAGUAGUCUUAAUUAGCUGGUCUUUUGUCUUAAGCUAUGACUUGAUUUGUGAGAUUCAUGCUCAGCUCAUUAUUUACAACUUAAUAUCUGUUAUAUGUUGAUUUGCUAUCUCCCCUUGGUAUAGUUAAUACAUUAGCAUCAUGGUUCAUUAAAGAAGCUACUGUUUGAAUUCAUGGGAAGUGUAGGACAGUUAAUCGUGUUGGGUUUUUGUAAUUCACGGGUUUAUGGUAAUUGAUUUAAUUUUGGGCUUUACUUUAUCCUUACCCUUUAAUAUUCGGGUCAUUAGCACUUGGUUUGAGAUAAGCGAUUUGGCCUAUUUUACAUAACUGAUAAUUGCUAGAUUAGUCUAAAUAGCUUAAUAAACUUCAUGUAUUCCAAACACCUCCAAUUUCAUAAGUCAUGGCCUUACAACAACCUUAAAACUAGUUUAGGAAAAUAAUCACACAACUGCAGUUUGCUUUAGGCGCGGUUAAUAAAUCAUUGUGGCCAUGUGUACGGUUCCCGUAGCAUGGUCACGAUACAUAUUUUCCAAUUCAGGUGUGCAUUUUAUAUGACCCGACCACAACUUAAAACAAUAUAAAAAUAAAUAUGUUGUAAAUCGCGGGUGCAUUUCAUGUGGCGCAGUUUGCACUAUGUACCAAAGACAAGUGUACGACAUCGUGACUUGUUCCAAAAAUAAUUCCAUAAAUAAAUAAAAGCAGUUAUAGAGUUAAAAAUACACACACAUUUAAAAUAUGUAAUAAAUCAGAUAAUUAGGCCAAUUAUCAAUAGUUGAGCGACCGUGCUAAAACUACGGAAUCCGGGAGUGCCUCACACCUUCUCCCGGUUUAACAGAAUUCCUUACCGAUCCUCUGUGUUCGCGGACCAAAACUAGAGUCAAUUUCCUCGAUUUGGGAUUUAAAAUAAAUCGGUGACUUGGGACACCAUAAACUAUUCCAAGUGGCGACUCUAAAAAAUUAAAUAAAUAAUCUCAUUUCGAUUAAUGUCACUUUAAUUGGAAAAACUUUCCUAUACCCGUCAGAAAAAAGGAGGUGUGACAGCUCUGGCGACUCUGCUGGGGAAACAAACCUAGAACUUAUGGUUUAGAGUUCAGAAUUCGAGCUUAGAAUAACUGUUAUAGUUGGCUUUUAUUUAUUAUCUAAUUUUUUUUACGUGUUUUAGCUUGAUGUGCUAAAUGCCACUUUUUACCGCUUUGAUAUUAUAUGAACUGUAUAUAAACUAUUACAAAAUCCUUCUUCUCUCUGAGUCUUCUAAAUCUUCUGGGAAGUGCACACUGGCGUGACUUCUUUUCUGUUAGAGUCAUACCCUAAUUUAGAACGAGGAUCAGAUCAGUUACAAAGCCGGAUGGCCUUUUGGUUAUCGGUACGUUGCCCCUUUCCCCCCCCCCCCCCUCCCCGGCUCGAGUUGUCUACUCGGGUAAGCCAGGAGAAUAAUACACCCAGGUUUUAAACCUAGAAUAACAUAGCCUCAUGCCGGAUUCCUAGUAGGAACGCUUGCAUUUGACUUUGGGGACUCAACACAGGGUUUGGUUCCGUCUAGGACAGGUGUAACCGAAAUAAAAAGACCAUCCUGAUGCAUCUUACGUGCUACUUGCGCAUCUGUUUGUUUUGGCUUACGUGCUGACUGGCUUUUAGAAUGGGAAAAGAAAAAUAAAAAAAUAGAGAAAAUAAUAAAUAAAAACAAGAGUGAGAGGUAGGUAUUAAAAAAAUCAAAACUCUGCCGAAAUUUUGAAGAAAAUAAAAGAGAAAGAAAAUAAGAUAAUGUUUUCAAAAGAUCAUGUUUCCCUUGUUCCGUCAAAACAGACUGAACUACGCGGGUCUAAUUCUCAUCGGAUGUGAGAUACGUAGGCAAACUUUAUCGGUUCCAGCCCCAAUUUCUAAAAAUUCAAAAAUAUUUUCCUUUAAUUCCUUCAUUAGAAGCAUUUCCUUAGAAAAUUCAAAAGAAAAAGAUUUUUAAACUCAAAAAAAAUAGUUUUCUUCUUUCUGAAGUCUUUCAUACGGAAAAAAAAAAACAACAAAAUCCAAAAUACAGAUUUCCUUUAUUUUAAAGUAUUUUUCCCAAAAAUUCAAAAAAAAAUCAAAAAAAAAGAAUCCAAAAAAUAUUCUUAUCCUUCUUUAAAAAUCUUUCUUUCGUAAAUAUCAUAAAAUAAUUGAAACGUUGAAGUCCAAAAAUAUUUUUGUUUUUCUUUAGAAGUACUUUUGUAAUAAAAAAAAACUCAGAAAUCCAAAAUAUUUUCUUAGCCCCUCUUUCGAAAAUUAAGAGGCAACAUCCAAAAUUCAAAAACAUUUUCUUUCUUCUUUAGAAAAAGAGAAAACAAAUGAAAAUUCAAAAAAUAAUCUUUUUACUUUUGAAAUUCCCAAAGUUCAAAUCAAAGAAAAGGAAUUUUUAGAAGUCUUUCUUUCAAAAAAAAAAUCAAAAUUAAAAAUCCAAAAAAUAUUUCUUUUUUUAUUUUAAAGCAUUUUUUUUAAAACUCCAAAAUAAAUACAAAAAAAAUCAAAAAAAUAUAUAUGUUUUUCUUUUUCUUAAAGCUUUCAUGGUCCGAGUUUUAUAAAAAGUAAACAAAAAAAGUGAGUUAGUUUAAUUACUCUAUUCUCGAUCUUCCUGAACUAUGCAAGAUCUUAUUCAUGCUGCAUCAUGAUACUUAGGCAAUCCCCAUCGGAUUCGAUCAUAGCUAUAAAAUAAAUUGAGUGAAAAAUAAACUAAAAAAAUUGAGUGAAGAAGAAAGAAAUGAGUGAAAAAAAAGGAAUGACAAAACAAAAAGAGAACAAGAGAGUGCCAAAUAUAAAAGAGCGACAGAAACAAAAGGAAAAAAAUCAAAAGUGAUUAAAGAGAGGUAGAAAUAAAAGAAAAGAGGUACAUACUGAAAGGAUUAGUUGAGGCCGGGAUGAAACAUGCAACCGUUAGUUAAGGCCCGGAUGAAACAUGCAACCGUUCAAACACAUGGUAGAAGCAUUUAACUGUUAGGUGCAUUGCAUCCCAACUUGCGAUUUCCUAUAUGCUAAAUGUUUCAAAACUAACAAGGUUGUUGGGUGUGCAAAUUAGCCAGGUUCUGUUCAGGUGGUUAGUUUUGUUGAUAAUCUGGCUUUCCAUCCUUACUUCACAAGAUCCAAAGGCAUGGUUCCUAUGGCCUCGGUCCCACCAUACUAUUAUCCCUUUCAAGAUGUUGCUUAUGUUGUGGCACUGCCUCCCUACGCGGUGAUGAGCAUGCAACCUUACAUGCGGCCACAACAUUAUACACAAAAACAAGAUCCACCUCCCAGAAAUGCCCAUCCUUGCCAAGCUUCAAAUAAUCCCAACCAAAUGUCCCCCAGUACAACCCCCCUCCCCCCAAGAGAGCCUUUCAGAAAGAAUCAGUUCACCCCUAUUGGUGAAUCAUAUUCGGGCUUGUUCCAAAAGCUAGUCAGGCGAGGUCUGCUGUAGCCAGUGGCCCCAAACCAGCCAAACCCCGAGUCUCCCUCACACCAAGCGAUGCCAUAUGUGAAUACCACUCCGCAAUGGGACACAGUACAGAGGGCUGUUGGACCCUCAAAAGGGCAAUUGAAGACUUAAUCGAAGCUGAAAUAAUCGUUCUUCGGGACGAAAAAGGCUCCUAAUGGACAAAUAAUCCAUUGCUUGCUCACAACACCAGGCCAAUAGUCGGAAUGAUUCGUGAAAAGAGGAAUUUGAUCCAGCACUAAAGGCCAUUGCAGCCAUUGUCGAGACAGAAGAAAAUCCAAAAAGCGAUCGACAAGCUUGAAAGUUCCCCAUCAGAUGGGAGUCUCGAUAGCCAGUCUUGCUAUAUUUUCUGCGUUCGGAUUAUCUCAGGGUGUGAUCCGGAUGUUUCACUUUCCGAUGUAAACCCUUAUAUCUUUAAAAUUCAAAAAAAAUCAAAUAAAAAAGAAAUCAUUUCAUUACCUAGGAAUGUCUCUUUUCUUAUUGUAACUUUUCUUAUUCUCUUUUUAAUUCUGUUAAAUGCAGAUUUCAAUAACAUGACAUGCUUGCGGACUUCAUGCCCAGAUCCUAAAACGCUGUCAGACCUCGAAAUAAUGAAUCAAAAAAUAGAUUGUAAUGAAGAUAAGUUUUAGGAAAUAAAACAAAGAGUUGGAACAACUAAAGAAAAAUUGGCUCCAGAUUGUAAAGAUCCAUACAUGGUAACAAGGGUACUUCCAAAAAGAGCGUUGUACCUGGGAAACAUCCAAAGAAAUGUCCCUAAAACAACUACCAAUGUAGGUUCAGUCAAAAGGUACUAUGUUUGAUCCUCUAUAUAGUAUUAACGCUCCGAUUGGGAUGAAGAAGGCUUUUAUUUUCGCUAACUAAAUACCAUUAACCCUUUUUUAAUCUCUUUGAGCCGGUUCCCUUUCUUUGAUUACCCUCUUUGGAAUCUGAAAGUGUUAUUGAAAAAAAAUGAAAGAAUGAAAUGAAAAAUGAAAAACAAAAUGAAAAAAGAGAAGAAAAAGAAAGAUACAAAAAAGGGAAGAAAAGGCAAAAAGAAAAUGAAAUGAAAAAUGAAAAAAAAAAGAGGAAAAAGGAAAGGAAAAAGAAAGAGAAAACAAAAGAAAAUAGAAAAACAAAAGAAAAAAAACAAAGUUCCUUGAACUUGUUCAACUUGAUUCCAAAAGGAUACGUAGGCAGACUCUCUCUGGGGUUCAGUCACACCAAAAUAAAAAUCCAAAUUCCUCUAAUUUGAAACUGGGGCAGAAGUUAUAAUGGUUUGACGAUGGUUUCGCCCGAAAGGUUCCAAAGUCAUAACUCUAUCCAAAUCCUUUUUACCCAAACCUUAUUCAAGUCCUUCUGAUCAAUCGGCAAAGAUGUUCAAAAUGGGAGGAUACAGUUACUUGGAUCUGACACAACAAAAUGAGAGAAUUAAAAUGAAAGUCUUAUCGGUGAAAACUCUCACGGGCAACAUAAGGUGAUGGUAAGCAGAGAAAUGGAAAAUAAGAGAGUCUUGUUAGUGAAAACUCGCAAAGAGCACUAUAAUACGAUGGUGAGAAGAGAAAUAAGAGUGGUCAGAUAGUGAAAACCCGCAAAGGGCACCACUGAUCAAAAAAGAGGAUAUUCGGUCACUGACAUUGACACAGUCCUGGGCAUGGUUUCUCGAUUUCGAGGCAAAAGUUGUGAUGAAUUUCUGAGAGUCAGACGGUUUGCACGGAUCAGGCAUCCAGUCCAAAAGGCGUGUCAUAUUCGUUGAAGUCCGCAUGUACUCUAGAUAAGUCCUUCUUUCCUUUCCUCAAAAGGGACGUCUUGUAUAAAUUCAUUUGUCCAUUCCAUUGUUUAUUUUUCCUUUGAAUCCCUUUCGGUCUAACUCUAUUUUGAAACUGAGACAAAGAAGGUUUACAGGGUUCUCAUUUGAUACAAGCUAAUAUGCAAAAAAGACACCCAGCCUCGUCAGGGGCAUCAAGUCGACCUCGACCGGCCAUGACGGCCAAUGCUUCGAAAUCAAAUCGAAGUGCCUAUAAAGGUAAAUGAAGUUGAAAAGGUUAAGUUCCACGUGGCUAAUAGUCUCGGCAAAAAUUUGAAAAAGCCAAGGGAUCCCAAAUGCUCUGAAACUAAAGUUGGAAUAAAGAAGCCAAAAAUGAAAGGCCUAUGAAGGCGAAAUAAAGUUGGAAAAGAUUAAGUCCUACGCGACUAGCCGUCGCGACAAAGUUUGAGGAGCCAAAAGUUCCUCAAUGCUCCGAAGUUUUAAAAAAACAACAAGUCAGAAGGGAAGGGCCUAUAGAAGCAAAAUAAAGUCAAAAAGGUUGAGUCCCAUCGACCAAUCGUCAUGCAAAUUGUGGAAAAGCUAGAGUUUCUACAGGGUCAGAAAUGCAAUCGGUAUUCAGGAAACAAUCAAGCCGAGAUCAAGUGGUUAAAAUAAUCAAGGCCACAAAACCAACCACCGUUUUAAACUGACAAAUUGUUUUUUGUUUGAAAAAUAAGAAACAGGUGCAAUGCACAAGCAAACUUGCAAGAAGCAGGUGCUACCAAAAAGAAACUGCGCAAGAGCUAAAAAACAGCUUUGCAGCAACAACUCCAAAAAGGGAAGUCUCCUCCAAAAUUCUUUCCGGCAUUUACUCAUUCUAUGAAAUAAAAAAAAUAAGAAAAAAAACGAUGAUGAAAAUAAAUAAAGAAAAAAAAAGAAGAAGAGAAACUCAAAAUCAUAGUAGUAUAGGGUCUCCAAUUCCUAGCUGUGUCUUUUCCAAAAUAGGGUCCCACUUCCUAGUUGAUGCGGGCAUAACCCGAUGACUUUUCCAACAUAGAGUCUCACUCCCUAGUUGAUGCCGGCAUAACCCCAUGACUUUUUCAACAUAGGGUCCCACUCCCUAGUUGAUGUCGGCAUAACCCCAUGACUUUUCCAACAUAGGGUCUCACUCCCUAGUUGAUGUCGGCAUAACCCGAUGCCAGCAAAACCUAAUGCCAACAUAGGGUAACCACUCCCUAGUUGAUGCCAGCAUAACCUGAUGCCCACAUAGGGUCACCAUUCCCUAGUUGAUGCCGACAUAGGGUCUCCACUCCCUAGUUGAUGUCAGCAUAACCUGAUGCCAACAUAGGGUCACCACUCCCUAGUUGAUGAUUUUCCAACAAUAGAGUUUCCAAUCCCUAGUUGAUUUUAUUUUAGAUAUAUGGGUCUCCACUCCUUAAUAUCUUUUUCCCAAGGAUACACAAUCUCGACAUUUUAUUUGCUUUUAAUAAUGAAGUAGUAUAGAGUUUUGCUACCAAUAACUCACGAAAGUUUCCUAGUGAAAACUGGGGCAGAAAUAUUUUGUUCGUUUGUUUGUUUGGGUGCCUGAGCAGGUUUUACCUCGAGGCACGGGUUCGAGACGACUAAAAGAAGAAGUCUCAAUCCAAAAUAAAAGAAAAAGAAGAAAAGAAAUGAAGUGAACACAAUUCAGAAGCGGAGAAAAGAUGUGGACUGCUCAAGAAAUGAUUAAUAUCACAAGCUUUGCAUGUCACGCCUUGAUCCGAGAAGCUGAAAAGAAUGAACCAGCACCUAUAGCUAACAAGCAUCAAGAUUCGGAUCAGAGUCUACGUGAAGAACGAGCUAAGACUCAAGAUCAAGCUUCAAAAGACUCAUAGAUAGGAAUCCUGUAACUUGUAGCUGAUAGGCUUAGUUAGUUUUUUUCAUUUUGACUUUGAUGUAAUAGCAGGACCACGGACCGGAUCCUCGACGGGACCUCACUCGACACUCGAACUUGGCAUUCCAUCAUUCUCCUUGAACUACACGCGACCUGAUUCUCAUAUGACCCAGGAUAUGUAGGUUGUCCAAAACAAGGACUCGGUUGCACUCUUUUCUUUUAGUUUCUUCCCUUUUAAUAAUAAAAAAUAAAUAAUGGUUUGGUCAAAAAUUAGUCAUAUCGCUCAUCUUUUCUUUGCCUGAAAACUCUUCAUGUUUCCAAGCAACGAGGGGCAUGCUGUAAGCACCUAAUUUUUGACCAUAUUUUAAUUUUUCACCACUUUUUCGUAUGUAAAUAUUUUUUAAGUUUAACCUACGCAUUUUAGCUCUUGUUUUACCUUUUUAUAGGUUUUACUUAGAAAUUGAAAAUGAUGAAAAAGAGUCACAUUUUUUUGAUAAAUUUUGUUUUCAUUUACAAAAGAAAAAGAACAAAUUAAAAUUUUGUUAAGACUACUAAUAUGAAAUUUUCUUUAGUAGAUUUCUGUAUUUUUCUAGUCUAAACGUAUUAAUGUAGUAUUUUGAUUUUAGAUUAUCUUGAAAAGAAAGAAUUAAUAAAAAAUGAUGAUACAAUUAGGUUCUGCCACUUAAAAUAACUAGCAAGAUUCUAUUAGACCAUGAUCAUAUUUUGUCUUGAUUCUCGUGGACACACUCACAUUUUUCUUUUAUAUAUUUUUCCUCCUCACAUGUUACACUACACUUUUCAUUUCUUAAUUUACUAAGCUCACGUACUAACAGUUAAUUCAAUUGGAGUCACUCACCUCACGCGCACUCAUGCUACAAUGCUAGGAGUCCAUAUUUUGUUCUUAUCUUUUUUGGUAUCUAACAAAUUGUGAGCGCCACAGGAUCUUCCACCCACUUUCUCCACACAUAUCCAUUGCACAUAAUAUUCCCUCCAGCUCAUAUAACUCUGGCCCCAAAAAAAAUCUUGAGGGCACUCUAUAUAUAUCAACAGAUUUGAUAGAAAGAAGAAGAAAAAAAAAGGAAACCUAGAGAUAAAAAUAGCUAAGCGGCGCAGCAGAAACUCCAGAAAACAAAAAAUAGUUGCACCUCUUUCUUUUUUCCCUUCAACCCAUCAUCAUCUUCAACCCACAAAAUAUCCAUGAAAACCACCAUCUUUCCUCCAUAAAACCCACUUAAAAACAGCCUUUUAAACCUAACAAAAUCCACUCAAAUCCAUCGUCAAACUCCAAGAAAAACUGUCCAAAAAUAAAAUUAAACUACAACCAAAUCAAACCCGAAAACGCCCCAAAAUCUAGCUCCAAAGUGACCCAAAACGUCACCCAAACCACCCCCGAAACCACCUCAAAACAGGCCCCCAAAACUCAGUAAAAUUAGCCCCAAAAAUCAUCCACAAAACAGCUCCAAAGAGCAGCCAAAUCAGCUGCGAAAUUGCUGAAAAAAACCAGUCCAAAACCCCCAGAAAAGUUGUCCCAAAAUCAGUGCCAAAAAUCUGACAAAACACCAUCCGAAACCAGCCACAAGCCUCCAUCGAAAUGACCCCUUUAUACUCGAAAUAGUUGUCCAAAUCUAGUCGAGUCAGUAUCAUUUUCGUGUAGAUCUUGUUUUGAGAUCGCCAUCGAAGUUAUGGUCGAUUGAUUCUAUAACAUUUGAAGGUCCUUGUUUUGCUCUUGCUUCGGUCAAAUUGUAGUUGUUGUUUCCUUGUAUUUUGACAUUGGCAGCGGUGCUUCAAUGUAAAGGAAGUUUCCAGCAAUAAGGUCCAAUAUUUAAACUUAUGUUAUCUCAAUUUGGUCUUGCUAGCAUAGUCAAUGAUUCUGGUUAUUUGUUGCUAUUCCAUAUUAUCUUGUCUUUCGUAGUAGUCUUAAUUACCUAGACUUUUGUCUUAAGCUAUGACUUGAUUUGUGAGAUUCAUGCUCAGCUCAUUAUUUACAACUUAAUAUCUGUUGUAUGUUGAUUUGCUAUUUCCCCUCGGUAUAGUUAAUGCAUUGGCGUCAUGGUUGAUUAAAGAAACUAUUAUUUGAAUUCAUGGGAAGUGUAGGAUAGUUAAUCGUGUUGGGUUUUUGUAAAUUUUCGGGUUUAUGGUAAUUGAUGUAAUUUUGGGCUUUACUUUAUCCUUACCCUUUAGUAUUCGGGUCAUUAGCACUUGGUUUGAGAUAAGUGAUUUGGCCUAUUUUACAUAAACAGAUAAUUGCUCGAUUACUCUAAAUAGCUUAAAAACUUCAUGUAUUCCAAACACCUCUAUUUCCAUAAGUCAUGGCCUUACAACAAACUUAAAACUAGUGUAGGAAAAUAAUCACACAACCGUAGUUUGCUUUAGGCGUGAUUAAUAAAUCAUCCUGGUCAUGGGUACGGUUCCCGUGGCAUGGUCAUGAUAUAUAAUUUCCAAUUCGGGUGUGCAUUUUAUAUGACCCGACCACAACUAAAAACAAUAUAAAAAUAAACAUGUCGUAAAUCGCGGGUGCAUUUCAUGUUGCGUGCUUUGCAAUGUGUACCAAAACGACAAGUGUACGACAUCGUGACUUGUUUCAAAAAUAAUUCCAUAAAUAAAUAAAAGCAGUUAUAAAGUUUAAAAUACACAACAGGUUUAAAAUAUGUAAUAAAUUAGAUAAUUAGGCCAGUUAUUAAUAGUUGAGCGACCGUGCUAAAACUACGGAAUCCAGGAGUGCCUCACACCUUCUCCCAGGUUAAUAGAAUUCCUUACCCGGUCUUCUGUAAUCGCAGACCAAAAAUAAAGUUAAUUUCCUCGAUUUGGGAUUUAAAAUAAAUCGGUGACUUGGGACACCAUAAACUAUUCCAAGUGGCGGCUCUAAAAAAUCAAAUAAAUAAUCUCAUUUCGAUUAAUGUCACUUUAAUUGGAAAAACUCCCCGAUCUCCUUCGGGAAAAAGGUCUGUUACUUCUUCCGAUAAGGACCAUGCUGCUUAGGCUUUGUAAUUUUUGUAAUUUUUCGUUUUUGUUUUGAGGCCGAUUGGCCCUUAUAAAUAACUCUUAAUCGGGCCAUAUGGCCCUUGUAAAAAGAGUUUUGAGAUAUAUGUAAAAACUUUAUUUCCUUCCAUGGCUUCUGAAUUUGUUGUCUUUUUGUUAAUUUAUGUAAGGGCCAAGCGCCUUAGCAUAAAAUUAUGAAGCUGUAUUCGAAGGUCCAAGGUUUGAGAUGGUAAGGACCGAGAACUAGUACCGCCCUCGACUAUUUCUAAUCGAUGGACCCCGAAUGUUUAUCAAACUAGAGUUGAGGAUGCCCUUAAGCUUAAUGAUCAAGUGGGGACCUGCUCGAACUCGAAAUAAGGUAGACUUUGGGCUUUCUAGUCGAGUGAUAAUGAUCUCUCAAACUCGAAGUGAAAUUAUCCCUUAGGCCUUUGUAAAUUUUGUGUUUAGCCGACAUAGCCUUUAUAAAAAGAUCAUUUAUAUAUAAGGCUUUUCACCCUUUUCGGCUCUAAAAUUUUUCCUUUGUUUUACUGUUUGUAUUCACAAAGGUUGGAAUGACUUAGCACAAAAUAAUAAGGUUUUGUUCGAGGGUUCGAGCAAACUUUGCCUUUAUUUCCCUUCUAGGUUAAGGCGUUAUCGGGGUUCGAUGUUACCAAAGUUUUUUUCCGAAAAUAUCUUAAGUUAAAGAUUCUACCGCGGGUAGCCUAUAGAACCGGUUGUGAAAGAACUUUUUCUGUUUCGAAGGCCUAUUUUUGUUACGGAUUUCGGACGUCUCCAAACCGUGUUAAAUUAGGUAGCCUAUUAGUUCGGAUGUAGCCCAGUGAGCUCACUUUCCCAAGUUAUCCAAGCUUGCCUAAGAUAAUAGUCCUCGAUUGGGUAUGGCCAUGGCCUUUAAAAUUUGAGGGUUUCAUAAGAGGUCUUAUAUCCUCGAUGUUCAAUAACUCGAUUUGGUCGAAUUUAUUUUAUGGACGGUAGUGCCCGACUAUUGGAGUGAUUAUCCGAACUCCAGUUUCAAUCAGCCCUUUGGCUCAUUUCCAUAAUUGAUUGAAAGUAUGGGGUUGAAAAGUGAAACAUUUUCCAAGACAUUAAAUAGUUGCAAGGAAAGUACUUCUCUUUAUUCUUGUCAAAAAUAAUCACACAUGCGUACAUGUUUAGUGUCAGGGCUCGGGCAAUCUAUGUAGGCACGGUUCGUUUUAACCGUUUUUCCCUUACAGUAAAUCCUACCUAUUGAGACCCUUUCAUUUCGAAAUAAUUUCCUUGCUAAAACACUUCAAUAUCCGAGGUUAAUCCCC
This 12254-nucleotide long non-coding RNA is filed under the name Nicotiana tabacum (common tobacco). Its description in RNAcentral is "long non-coding RNA (NTAB_LNC003160)". The record is from RNAcentral. Lineage: Eukaryota; Viridiplantae; Streptophyta; Magnoliopsida; Solanales; Solanaceae.